This is a long non-coding RNA of Cervus elaphus (red deer), 485 nucleotides long. RefSeq lists it as uncharacterized. The transcript is spliced from 4 exons. NCBI's taxonomy places the organism in Eukaryota, Metazoa, Chordata, Mammalia, Artiodactyla, Cervidae. The record is from RefSeq and is a predicted model, not a curated record.
GCUCUUUCUACCAAUAACUGGAGCUGCAGGGUCACAUUGUGAAGCUGGAGAGUGAAGCCAACUCAAAGGAAAGCAGAGUCAAGAGCUGAAGAGAGUCAGGUCCCUGGUGACCCGGGCCACCAAGCUGGGAGGAUGCAUGUCUGGGGUUGUCAGCUGCCACGUGCCGUAAUGCGUGGAGGAAGACCAUGUGCAGCAGAAGAAAAGGAACCAACACACAGGCCUGUAGAGUCUGGUGCUGACUCUCAAGUUACAUGCGGUCAUGUGACAGGAGAGUUGGAGCCGGGGUGCCUGAUGACAUUGUGGAGCCCAGCCACCUACCUCCGCUAGACCAGUUGCCUAUCCCUGCGCUGUGAGGGAGAAAAACUGGACCUAUCUCAUAUAUACUGUGAGGAUUAAAGGCGUCAAUAAAGGUAAAGAACUCAAAAGAGGGAGAUUUCCUGGAUGGUCCAGUGGCUAAGACUCCAAGCUUCCAAUGCACAGUGCCU